Long non-coding RNA from Rana temporaria (common frog), 1158 nucleotides. RefSeq lists it as uncharacterized. The transcript is spliced from 2 exons. The record is from RefSeq and is a predicted model, not a curated record. NCBI's taxonomy places the organism in Eukaryota, Metazoa, Chordata, Amphibia, Anura, Ranidae.
ACGACCAUAGUUCUGCAUGCAGUGUGUGAGUGCCUGUAGAUCACAACUGUUCUUCUAUGACAAUGCUGGGUUUCCUUGUGACCAAGUCGUUUUAGUGGAACGCAUCAAGAAAAGGUGUUUCUUGGGCAAGGGGACACUAUGGAAGCAGCUUUGCCACUGAUGACGCAAUAAAGGAUCUUCAGAAGGAAGUGUGUGUGAGUGUCUGUAGGUCACAAAUGUUCUUCUGUGAUGGUGCUUUAUUUCUUUUUGAUCAACCCGUUUUGGUGAAAUGCAUCAAGGAAAGGUGAUUCUUGGGCAAGUGGACACUAUGGAAGCAGCUUUGCCACUGAUGACCCAAUAAAGGAUAUUCAGAAGGAAGUGUGUGUGAGUGUCUGUAGGUCACAAAUGUUCUUCUGUGAUGGUGCUUUGUUUUGGUGAAAUGCAUCAAGGAAAGGUGAUUCUUGGGCAAGUGGACACUAUGGAAGCAGCUUUGCCACUGAUGACCCAAUAAAGGAUCUUCAGAAGGAAGUGUGUGUGAGUGUCUGUAGAUCACAAAUGUUCUUCUGUGAUGGUGCUUUGUUUCCUUUUGAUCAAGCCGUUUUGGUGAAAUGCAUCGUGGAAAGGUGAUUCUUGGGCAAGGAGACACUAUGGAAGAAGCUAUGCCACUGAUGACACAAUAAAGGAUCUUCAGAAGGAAGUGUGUGUGAGUGUCUGUAGGUCACAAAUGUUCUUCUGUGAUGGUGCUUUGUUUCUUUUUGAUCAACCUGUUUUGGUAUAAUGCAUCAAGGAAAGGUGAUUCUUGGGCAAGUGGACACUAUGGAAGCAGCUUUGCCACUGAUGACCCAAUAAAGGAUCUUCAGAAGGAAGUAUGUGUGAGUGUCUGUAGAUCACAAAUGUUCUUCUGUGAUGGUGCUUUGUUUCCUUUUGAUCAACCCGUUUUGGUGAAAUGCAUCAAGGAAAGGUGAUUCUUGGGCAUAUGGAUACUAUGGAAGCAGCUAUGCCACUGAUGACCCAAUAAAGGAUCUUCAGAUGAAGUGUGUGCGAGUGUCUGUAGGUCACAAAUGUUCUUCUGUGACGGUGCUUUGUUUCCUUUUGAUCAAGCCGUUUUGGUGAAAUACAUCAUCGAAAAGUGAUUCUUGGGCAAGGGGACACUAUGGAAGCAGCUAUGCCACUGAUGAC